This 491-nucleotide ribosomal RNA is filed under the name uncultured bacterium. RNAcentral's name for it is "partial 16S ribosomal RNA". It matches the Rfam family "Bacterial small subunit ribosomal RNA", at positions 29 to 506 of the family's 1533-position model. The record is from RNAcentral.
AGUGAACGCUGGCGGUAGGCCUAACACAUGCAAGUCGAACGGCAGCACAGUAAGAGCUUGCUCUUACGGGUGGCGAGUGGCGGACGGGUGAGGAAUACAUCGGAAUCUACUUUUUCGUGGGGGAUAACGUAGGGAAACUUACGCUAAUACCGCAUACGACCUACGGGUGAAAGCAGGGGAUCUUCGGACCUUGCGCGAUUGAAUGAGCCGAUGUCGGAUUAGCUAGUUGGCGGGGUAAAGGCCCACCAAGGCGACGAUCCGUAGCUGGCCUGAGAGGAUGACCAGCCAAACUGGAAUUGAGACACGGCCCAGACUCCUACGGGAGGCAGCGUUGGGGAAUAUUGGACAAUGGGGGCAAGCCUGACCCAGCCAUCCCGCGUGGGUGAAGAAGUCCUCCGGGUUGUAAAGCCCUUUUGUUGGGAAAGAAAGGCGGAAGGUUAAUACCCCGCUGUUCUGACGGUCCCCAAAGAAUAAGCACCGGCUAACUUCGU